Myotis lucifugus (little brown bat) is the source of this 145-nucleotide non-coding RNA. Lineage: Eukaryota; Metazoa; Chordata; Mammalia; Chiroptera; Vespertilionidae. The record is from Rfam.
ACCCCCUGGUAAUGGGCGAGGAGACACAUGAUUGGUGGUGUUGCUCUUAUAUCAGUUAGGGACAAAGCAAAUGUACAGUCCUUAGUUCAUCCUAGCUUGAUGCCUGUGUCGGUGGCCAGAGCUGUGUCAUGCCUGAGGCACAUAA